Molecule: small RNA, 29 nt
Filed under: Bombyx mori (domestic silkworm)
Lineage: Eukaryota; Metazoa; Arthropoda; Insecta; Lepidoptera; Bombycidae
Description: ovarian small RNA-25771
Source: RNAcentral
UCAGUAUCCAUCGCCCCCGCGGGGGGUCC